Molecule: ribosomal RNA, 531 nt
Filed under: Hyaloscypha monodictys
Lineage: Eukaryota; Fungi; Ascomycota; Leotiomycetes; Helotiales; Hyaloscyphaceae
Description: eukaryotic LSU rRNA
Rfam family: 5.8S ribosomal RNA (bases 182-335)
Source: RNAcentral
CUGCGGAAGGAUCAUUAUAGAAAUGCCCCUCUGUUCGCAUGGGUUAUUUUCAAAACCGUGUCUACCUUACCUUUGUUGCUUUGGCGGGCCGCCUUUAGGCGUUGGCUAACGCUAACUGUGCCCGCCAGAGGAUCCAAAAACUCGUUUGUUUAGUGAUGUCUGAGUACUAUAUAAUAGUUAAAACUUUCAACAACGGAUCUCUUGGUUCUGGCAUCGAUGAAGAACGCAGCGAAAUGCGAUAAGUAAUGUGAAUUGCAGAAUUCAGUGAAUCAUCGAAUCUUUGAACGCACAUUGCGCCCCUUGGUAUUCCGAGGGGCAUGCCUGUUCGAGCGUCAUUAUAACCACUCAAGCCUAGCUUGGUAUUGGGGUUCGCCGUCCUGCGGCCCUUAAAAUCAGUGGCGGUGCUGCCUAGCUCUAAGCGUAGUAAUUUUCUCGCUACAGGGUCCGGGUGGUUACUUGCCAAAACCCUUCACUUCUCACGGUUGACCUCGGAUCAGGUAGGGAUACCCGCUGAACUUAAGCAUAUCAAAA